Molecule: ribosomal RNA, 309 nt
Filed under: uncultured bacterium
Lineage: Bacteria
Description: bacterial SSU rRNA
Rfam family: Bacterial small subunit ribosomal RNA
Source: RNAcentral
GACGAACGCUGGCGGCGUGCUUAACACAUGCAAGUCGAGCGGUAAGGCCCUUUCGGGGGUACACGAGCGGCGAACGGGUGAGUAACACGUGGGUGACCUGCCCUCAGCUCUGGGAUAAGCCCGGGAAACUGGGUCUAAUACCGGAUAUGACUUCAUGACGCAUGUUGUGGAGUGGAAAGCCUUGUGCGGCUGAGGAUGGGCCCGCGGCCUAUCAGCUUGUUGGUGGGGGAUGGCCUACCAAGGCGACGACGGGUAGCCGGCCUGAGAGGGCGACCGGCCACACUGGGACUGAGACACGGCCCAGACUCC